GAUGAACGCUGGCGGCGUGCCUAAUACAUGCAAGUCGAGCGAACAGACGAGGAGCUUGCUCCUCUGACGUUAGCGGCGGACGGGUGAGUAACACGUGGAUAACCUACCUAUAAGACUGGGAUAACUUCGGGAAACCGGAGCUAAUACCGGAUAAUAUAUUGAACCGCAUGGUUCAAUAGUGAAAGACGGUUUUGCUGUCACUUAUAGAUGGAUCCGCGCCGCAUUAGCUAGUUGGUAAGGUAACGGCUUACCAAGGCAACGAUGCGUAGCCGACCUGAGAGGGAGAGAGGCCAGCCGAGAGGUGUGAGACGGAAGAGACGACUAGGGGAAGCAGGAGGGGGGAGUCGGUAGUGAGGGGCUAAGGAGCGACAGAGAAUAGAAGUGGGAGAGAAGAAGUUAGUAGGUUCGUAGGACUGUGUGAGGAGGAAAGAAAAAGAGGGCAAGUAACUACGCAGAGCGUGGAGGUGCAUAAAUAGAAGGCGAGGGCUAAACACGGG
Molecule: ribosomal RNA, 497 nt
Filed under: uncultured bacterium
Lineage: Bacteria
Description: partial 16S ribosomal RNA
Rfam family: Bacterial small subunit ribosomal RNA (bases 20-338)
Source: RNAcentral